RNAcentral lists this ribosomal RNA (253 nucleotides) under uncultured bacterium. RNAcentral describes it as "partial 16S ribosomal RNA". It matches the Rfam family "Bacterial small subunit ribosomal RNA", at positions 524 to 776 of the family's 1533-position model. The record is from RNAcentral.
UACAGGGGGCGCGAGCGUUGCUCGGAAUCACUGGGCGUAAAGGGUGCGUAGGCGGGUUUUUAAGUCAGAGGUGAAAUCCUGGAGCUCAACUCCAGAACUGCCUUUGAUACUGAGAAUCUUGAGUUCGGGAGAGGUGAGUGGAACUGCGAGUGUAGAGGUGAAAUUCGUAGAUAUCCGCAAGAACACCAGUGGCGAAGGCGGCUCACUGGCCCGAUACUGACGCUGAGGCACGAAAGCGUGGGGAGCAAACAGG